Molecule: ribosomal RNA, 496 nt
Filed under: uncultured bacterium
Lineage: Bacteria
Description: partial 16S ribosomal RNA
Rfam family: Bacterial small subunit ribosomal RNA
Source: RNAcentral
GAUGAACGCUGGCGGCGUGCCUAAUACAUGCAAGUAGAACGCUGAAGCUUGGUGCUUGCACCGAGCGGAUGAGUUGCGAACGGGUGAGUAACGCGUAGGUAACCUGCCUCUUAGCGGGGGAUAACUAUUGGAAACGAUAGCUAAUACCGCAUAAAAGUCGAUAUCGCAUGAUAUUGAUUUGAAAGGUGCAAAUGCAUCACUAAGAGAUGGACCUGCGUUGUAUUAGCUAGUUGGUGAGGUAACGGCUCACCAAGGCGACGAUACAUAGCCGACCUGAGAGGGUGAUCGGCCACACUGGGACUGAGACACGGCCCAGACUCCUACGGGAGGCAGCAGUAGGGAAUCUUCGGCAAUGGGGGCAACCCUGACCGAGCAACGCCGCGUGAGUGAAGAAGGUUUUCGGAUCGUAAAGCUCUGUUGUAAGAGAAGAACGAGUGUGAGAGUGGAAAGUUCACACUGUGACGGUAACUUACCAGAAAGGGACGGCGAACUACGG